RNAcentral lists this long non-coding RNA (2980 nucleotides) under Lotus japonicus. RNAcentral describes it as "long non-coding RNA (LJAP_LNC000697)". The record is from RNAcentral. Lineage: Eukaryota; Viridiplantae; Streptophyta; Magnoliopsida; Fabales; Fabaceae.
AGAGAACUUGAUGUAGGAAUUCCUUCUCGUUUUACGUUAGAAAGAGAUAAAAAAAAAGUCAGUUAAUUUGGGAUUUUCCAUAAGAUCCCAACUAGUACUUAAAUAAAACCAAAUAAAACUAGAUAUUGUUAGUAACACAUUAAUACUAGUGUCAUUAGGGUCUUACACGGUUACAUUACCCUUCGGGGUUUUCACUGCAUUUUUCAAAAACCAUUACAAUUUUAUCUCUUCCUGAAGUUUGUAUAAAUAAAAUAUUGAACAGCAAAACAAACAUAAGAUCAGAUACUACCAAAUUAAGGUCCAAAACAGCAUACAGAAGGAAUUUGUGAACAACGCCAAAGAUACUUGGAGAAUAUAUAAAAGCAAGAGAAUCGGACCAUGUUUUCAAGUGGCACUCUAUGAUGCCUGAGUAACCAAAUAUGAUCUGGUAAUUUAACUUCUUGCAAGUUGCACUAUUGAACACCAAAACUUAUUGCAUAAUUAUUCAAUAUACAGUCAGACAUUGCGGGUAAGGGAUGAACAACAAUUUGAAGUACUAAAAAAUUAACAUAAUUGAAUAGCACAUAUUUCAAUUUUAAAUUACUUUACAGCCUUUGGGAGCAGAAAAAUAAGUGUUUUACUCAUACCUUUCUGUCAGUUAUCAGAGACACAGUUGGCUGUAAUCUGCCAAAGAAUAAUAGAAGCAAGCCAACAAAAUAAAUGCCAAAAUUUCCAAACAUUUUGGCUUUAGCUCAUUUGGUCCCAAAAUUCAUGUUAGACCAAAAGUUUUUAGUAUAAAAUCAAAACAAAUGCCACACUUCCCUUCAAAAUAGAGGUUGAGCUUACUGUCUAUGGUAUAAAGUAUAAACUGAUGAAUAAGAAAACAGUUUUAGUAUAAACUAAUGAAUAUAACAAGCUGGAAAUAAGCUAAGCUUAAUUUUAAACUAAACAUGUCCACCAGUCCACGGGGUCAAGCAUGAUACCUCACGCCCGUGACUCUUACGUUUAAUUGCUGGGUACAUAAUUUUGGCCUUGCAUAAUGGAGCUAGUCGUUAAUUACUCUUCAAACCUUGCAAGUUUAAAUUUAUUUCAAGUGAAGGUUGUAAUCUCAGAAGUCUUCUAAUCACUGUCAUUGUAAACUUUUUUGCGUUUCCUUUCCUCCAUCACAAGAUAUACAGAUAAUAGUUACAGUGUUGACUACACAAUCCCGAACUCCUCACCCAAGAGAAGACCUUCUGAACAAGUUUGCAAGCAGCCUCAACCAUUAUCCAUACAUAAUGUCUCUUAGAUGUUUUGAUAAAUAUACAGGGUUACAUGUUUUCAGCACAUGGUUGCUGUUCAUUUUUUGGUCUUUGAUUUAAUCUAAGAAACUGAAAUCACUUUGCAACAAUAGUCAGAGGAAUUUCAAUUUAUUGCUGAAAAUGUGGAAAUAAAUGACAAAUCCUAAAACAAACAGCUAAACUAAAAAAAAUCAUUCACAAAGAUCAAUUAAGGAAACUGCAAGUAGGUGUUUCUUUGGUUAUUUGAAGAUCAGACAGAACAGCCAAUUGCUGACACUGAAGCCUGAGAGGGGGGAAAACCUUCAAGUAAACUGCGUAGUCCUCUUUUGACUACAAUUAAGGUCCAAAACAGCAUACAGAAGGAAUUUGUGAACAACGCCAAAGAUACUUGGAGAAUAUAUAAAAGCAAGAGAAUCGGACCAUGUUUUCAAGUGGCACUCUAUGAUGCCUGAGUAACCAAAUAUGAUCUGGUAAUUUAACUUCUUGCAAGUUGCACUAUUGAACACCAAAACUUAUUGCAUAAUUAUUCAAUAUACAGUCAGACAUUGCGGGUAAGGGAUGAACAACAAUUUGAAGUACUAAAAAAUUAACAUAAUUGAAUAGCACAUAUUUCAAUUUUAAAUUACUUUACAGCCUUUGGGAGCAGAAAAAUAAGUGUUUUACUCAUACCUUUCUGUCAGUUAUCAGAGACACAGUUGGCUGUAAUCUGCCAAAGAAUAAUAGAAGCAAGCCAACAAAAUAAAUGCCAAAAUUUCCAAACAUUUUGGCUUUAGCUCAUUUGGUCCCAAAAUUCAUGUUAGACCAAAAGUUUUUAGUAUAAAAUCAAAACAAAUGCCACACUUCCCUUCAAAAUAGAGGUUGAGCUUACUGUCUAUGGUAUAAAGUAUAAACUGAUGAAUAAGAAAACAGUUUUAGUAUAAACUAAUGAAUAUAACAAGCUGGAAAUAAGCUAAGCUUAAUUUUAAACUAAACAUGUCCACCAGUCCACGGGGUCAAGCAUGAUACCUCACGCCCGUGACUCUUACGUUUAAUUGCUGGGUACAUAAUUUUGGCCUUGCAUAAUGGAGCUAGUCGUUAAUUACUCUUCAAACCUUGCAAGUUUAAAUUUAUUUCAAGUGAAGGUUGUAAUCUCAGAAGUCUUCUAAUCACUGUCAUUGUAAACUUUUUUGCGUUUCCUUUCCUCCAUCACAAGAUAUACAGAUAAUAGUUACAGUGUUGACUACACAAUCCCGAACUCCUCACCCAAGAGAAGACCUUCUGAACAAGUUUGCAAGCAGCCUCAACCAUUAUCCAUACAUAAUGUCUCUUAGAUGUUUUGAUAAAUAUACAGGGUUACAUGUUUUCAGCACAUGGUUGCUGUUCAUUUUUUGGUCUUUGAUUUAAUCUAAGAAACUGAAAUCACUUUGCAACAAUAGUCAGAGGAAUUUCAAUUUAUUGCUGAAAAUGUGGAAAUAAAUGACAAAUCCUAAAACAAACAGCUAAACUAAAAAAAAUCAUUCACAAAGAUCAAUUAAGGAAACUGCAAGUAGGUGUUUCUUUGGUUAUUUGAAGAUCAGACAGAACAGCCAAUUGCUGACACUGAAGCCUGAGAGGGGGGAAAACCUUCAAGGAAAAUGCGUAGUCCUCUUUUGACUGCCAUGGUUCAAAGUUCAAACUUCAAAGUACAAUAAAAACAACAUGGGUUGUUGUUGAUAUAAACAGUUCCAAUCACUAUAACUAGU